GUAAUUUAAGUUAAUUAAGUGGUAAAUAUGGAGGGACUAAAGAUGUAAAUGCCCAAAAGUUUAGAUAAUAAAAUGUUAAAUGAUUAAAACCCACACACAACUCGUGUGUGGGGUUCUGGACGAUCGACAGAGAGGAGCAAGGAGGGGUGAAACCCUAACUUCACAAAAUCCACAAGAAUUACUACAAAUCUUAAGGAAAUCGAAAGAAUAAUCAUCAAAUUCUAAGCUCCUACACCUGUUCUUUGAAGUGGAUAGGAAACCAAAAUUUACAUGGACUCAAGUAUAUAGGCUAUCGGAUUAAAAGGAAAUGAGGAAGUUAUGCACAAACUUGGAUGCACGAGGUAAAUCCUCAAUUUUGGCGACUUGGAGAAUUGGAGCGAGCGCGUGUUCAUGUUAUGCGAUACCAAACGCUUCCGCUAGUUUGUUCAAAUGUUUUCGAUCCAAAAUUUGUUGUAUUGGUUUUUAGUAGUAUUUUUUUGAACGAAUUGUAGAAUUGUAUCUAGUUUGUUUAUGUUUAAAACAGGGGUAUGCUCGUUUUAUGGACGGGUCAUGCCCGAUUUUUGUUAAA
Helianthus annuus (common sunflower) is the source of this 568-nucleotide long non-coding RNA. RefSeq lists it as uncharacterized. Lineage: Eukaryota; Viridiplantae; Streptophyta; Magnoliopsida; Asterales; Asteraceae. The transcript has 3 exons. The record is from RefSeq and is a predicted model, not a curated record.